GUCAAAACCAAAGCCAGGGCUUCUAACCAUAGCACUUGGUCUCAAGGUCCUCUUCCUGAUGUCUUUCAGAACUCCAGGAAAGAAACUUGCACUCGCUGUACAAAGGCUAACAGAGUCAUCGCCAUGCUGAAUCAGACACACAGGAUGCACAGGAAUGAAAUCACUUCAAACAAAACUACGUUAAAAAGAGGCAAAGAAAGCCCCCAUAUCUAAUAUCCUCAUGCCCAG
RNAcentral lists this long non-coding RNA (228 nucleotides) under Rhinopithecus bieti (black snub-nosed monkey). RNAcentral describes it as "lncRNA (ENSRBIG00000046036.1)". Lineage: Eukaryota; Metazoa; Chordata; Mammalia; Primates; Cercopithecidae. The record is from RNAcentral.